AUCUUCUAGAGUGGAAGUCGGGGUGAUUCAACUUCAAGCCCUUAGGCUCUGGGUUUCUGCUUGGAAUGUUUGCUUGGGUGGGACUUGGCUUUUCCUGCCUGUAAGCCUUUCCUCCACCUGUCACUGACUCCACAUACUCCUCAUAUUAGCUUUCAGCAAAAGACUCACACCUGGCUUUAUUCUCUUUAUUGACAGUUCCUUCUCCAGGUCUCCAUGGAUUCUGAUCUUUCUGAUCUUUCUUUGCUUAGCAUCCUGCUGGUAGAAUCUCUCAGGGAUCCUCCUGAGAACUGCUAUCUGGGUUCAGCCUGUAGAUCUUCCCAAAUGGAAAUCAGUGUAUCCAUCCAUCACAUUCAAACGCUUUCCCCCAUUUGGCACAAAAUUCAGGGAGGAGCAGGUUGUGACCUGUGGACCUUGGCCAGGGGCAACAGAGUUAUGGGAGCCAUCAGAGUGGAUGCCUUUGCCCCCAGUUUCAGUUUGAAAGAGGACAGACACUUUUGAUUCCUUCUCGGAGGGCUGCGAAGUCAGAAGUCAGUUCUCCAAAUAGAUUUCUUUCUCUUUCUUUAUUUAAUGCUUUUGCAAUCAGAAAUUACACCCCUCCCAUAAGUUCUUAAACUAGGAAACCCACACAUUACAGCCAUUCAGUUUUAUUUCAGACAAUAUUUGCCGCAAUAAAAAAGCUACUUACCAGUAAAUAUAACUUUUUUCUCUUUUAUUUCGUCUCAAAUCUUUAAUCAUUAUGAGUCAAACUGAAUUAUUCAUAAUUCUUAAAACAACAUAAUGUUGGGCAUGUUUACUAUAAUUUAACGUGGCAAUUUAGACCGGAGGAAAAUGCUGCUGUUUAUUCUCCAUUUCCACGUGUAACUAAGGAAUCAAUCUUGGUUCAACUUGAUGUCCCUGCUUGGUGGCAAUGCCUUCAUACCAUGUGCGUACAUCGCAUGCGUUCUUGAAGUUUUAUUUUUACUCAUUUUUAAUUAGAAAUAUAUCCCUUAGGCAAAAUAAAGGAAAUUAUUCAUUUUUGUGGAAAUGCUGCAAACUAUAGCUUGAGGGCUGUUCUGGAGCCUUCCUUAGGGCUGUGUAUCUUCAGCGAAUAGCAUUUUGCUUAUAACCUCAUGAGACCCUUAUGGGAGAAUCGUACCACUAAUUGAGCAACCACCAUAGGUCUCAUUUUUAAAAAUGGUCUUACAUAUGUGCUAACACGGAAAAUGUGGGUUAUGAAGAACGUACGAGUGGGAGCUGUCCCUUGAUAGAUUGGCUUCUAAAUGUCUGAUUGGAAUAAGUUGCACAACUCUAGCCACUGGUAUCUGGGCGUUAAUAACAGUCUUAGACUUGCAAAAAUAGAAAUUCUAGUUUUAGUGGGAAAUGGUUGUUUAAAGCCUUCCCUCAGGAGGCCUCCAUUUGCCUCUGCAUUUAAGUUCUCUGUAUCAACCUACAUCAGAGUCACCAUCCUACGUCUGCAUCCCAGGACUGAAGGCUUGUUGCCAUAGAGAUUUGAACUUUGGAUUUUAUAAUUUUUUUUUCAUUGUGGGUGGUUAAACUCACUUGGCUCCUAUAACAAACAUGAUUCAGAGAAGGAACACACUGAAACUUUUACCUUAAGUUACCAAUGGCAAACUGACAGCAAUAUCCUAAUGUCAGGAGUGCUGACAGCCAGCAAGAAUCCACCUUAAGAACCAUGGAAGGAGCGAUGGGUCAGAGGUUAAGAGUACUUGGUGCUCUUGCAGAAUAGCAGAGUUCAGAUCCCAGCACCGAGACUGGGCAGCUCAAAUUGCUUAUAACUCGAGGUCCAAGUGGGAAAUUCGGUGCUCUCAUCUGACCUCUGAGAGCAGCUGCUUGCAUUUCAUGGAAUGCCUCUUUCUGGAAGGAACUUAGGUGAGUUCUGAAUAUGUAUAUGUUGCGGGAAAGCCAAUUUUGGAGAUCAUGAUCUUAUUCCUCGUGUCUCAGCUCCAUAACUUGAUAUAGAUCUCCAGGCAGCACUCCUGGUCUGGCUUGAUCACAGGACAGCUAGCCCUGCCCCACCCCAAAGGCUUUCCUUUUUCUAGACAGGGAAGUGGCGUUCCUUUCUCUAUACCCCAGCAGUACCUCGAGUCUUCUCAGGUCCUACUGGUCUCUUGGCACAGGUUUCAGUUGUGUUUUUUGUCUUUGGGUAUGAGAAUCUUCAAACUACCAAACAGUGGGGUCAGUGGUAUACAGACUUUCUCCUGAUCCCACCUGAGUUAACAGGGAGGCCUGAGGGCAUUCCACUGCACAAGCUAGCAUAACCAGCUUCCAGCAGAAAUCCAAGUCUGGUCCAUCCUUUUCCACAGUGCUAUCAACUGAUGUCUAUUCUCUAAUGAAUAAUUAUAAUACUGAAUCACAUGCUGAUAUCCCGGAUACCACAAUAUAUCAAAGUUUGCUUCAUUAAUAGGAAAAUAUUAGUGCCAUCAGCAGUUAGCUGUCUAUGGACCUGAUGACUGUAGGCGAGCUAACGUUCAUUUAUCUGUGGUUUAUGGCUAGUUUGUUCAAUCACAUAGAAUUUAUCUUUGCCACACCUUAAUCAUUUAAGUCAUUUCCAAGAUGCAUUUAACCAGGUUAUCAAAGAUGCAAAACUUGGUCAAAAUUUAUGCUGAAUGUUGCCAUGAACUACUUGAAGAUUUUAUAGGAUGAAAAUAUUUAUGGGACCCAACUUUUUUUUCUAAACGGAAUUUGAAAUCCACCCUCUCCAUUUCUCCCAUUAAUUUCCCAAUUGGGGGAAAGAACAACUCCUCAUGGGUAUCAUCUAUUUCUAGUAAUUUCUCUGUAGUACAGAGCUUUUGGCUGAAGACAAGAGCACUUGUAUACCACUCCUCCCAAGGCCUCAUGAAUGCCUUACAACAAAUGAAACAAGAUGCUAGAUGCGGCCCCACUGAAGACACUGACAUGCAGACGAAACCGUGUCCACAGACAUUCAUUCACAAUGCGCAUCUGGUACGACACCCUCAAAACUGAGAAGUCUUUACUUGCUACUCUGGGGAUGGGUAGGUGAGGUUUUUGUUUUUGUUUUGUUUUGUUUUUUUUACUUUUCAAUUCAGUCUCUGAUUGUCUAUUAGCCCAGCACCUCAAGCAGAUCUUAUGUGACAUUCAUCCUUGCUCUAGAACAAGAGGUUUAGUUCCAGAUACUUCUUGCUAGAUCUAGAUAUGACCUCGUCUUUUGAAACAUGCAUGCACGCAAGCCUGCCAUUUGCAGCAGAAAGGAUUUAAACGCAGAUGUUAAAAACGCUCCCUUCGAACUAAAGUCAGAAAGGAAAAUAUCAGGGAUCCUUCAGUAUCCCUGCACACUGUGAAAUCUCGGCAUGUGCUGGAAAUAACACCCAUUGUUCUGUACAGCACAUCUCUGGCUCUUUCGUUAGACAAAUGAAUGACAACACGGCACUUAUUAUUCAACUCAGAUCUCUGAUAGGCCUAGCUCGUUUGCAUAGAGAAAACAUAUGGAGUGUAUUUUAGAUUUAUGUCUGUGCUUCCCUCUAAGAUCUCCGAGUCCAAUGGAAAUCACUAGACACAUGAUAAAUUUCCCUUUAGAUACAACAUCUAAAGCAGGCAUGAUUGUGGAAAAGGAAGUGGAGGAGAUAUUUUUCUUAAGCUAACAUUGUCUAGUUUUUCUUAGAUAUAGCUCCCAAUGGGAAAUAUACAUGUCAAAACAAAGCAGGUCGGAGUAAAAGAAUUCACAUGGAGAGAGAUUUAAUUGCAAGGGGAUUCAGCACUGCCCCAGGCCCGUUUGCAGUAGAGUAUUAAUGAUGGAGUGAGACACAGGGAUGAGAAAUAUCUGAUGUUGCUCAGGAAUAAUAAAAGACCCACCAACCUGCCUUAAUUCAGUGCCAGGAAUAACACUGGGCAUACUUUUAUUGACUUACAUAAAUUCUUCUCCACUGCAGCUCAUAUUAGGAGACUCAGAAAGAAAUCAGUACAGCAGCAGAGAUAGACCAGGGAAAAGUUGGAGGGAUUGGAGAAGAAAAAUGACCCCCUUGAAUCCAGCUUUCUCCUGGAGGCCGCGCUCCUGGUGAUGGACUGGGUGACUGACAGAUCCUAGGCCCCACCCAUGCAUGAGGUUGUGCUUUCUAAAUUUAAAACUUGAGGCAUAUUUUCUUGAUGAUAGAAGAAUCGAUUUUUUUCCAUUUUCUUUUCUUUUAUUGGAUAUUUUCUUUAUUUACAUUUCAAACGUUAUCCCCUUUCGGGGUUUCCCUUCUGCAAAUGCCCUAUCCCAUCCCCCCUCUCCCUGUUUCUAUGAGGGUGAUCCCCUAUCCACUCACUUACUCCGUCCCACCUUCCUACCCUAGCAUUCCCCUACACGGGGGCAUCAAGCCUUCACAGGACCAAGGGCCUCUCUUUCCACUGAUGCCCAACAAGACCAUUCUCUGCUACAUAUGCAACUGGAGCCAUGGGUUGCUCCAUGUGUACUCUUUGGUUGGUGUUUUAGUCCCUGGGAACUCUGGGAGAUAUGCUUGGUCGAUAUUGUUGUUCUUACUAUGGGGUUGAAAACACCUUCAGCUCCUUCAGUCCUUUCUCUAACUCUUCCAUUGGGGACCCUAUUCUCAGUCCAGUGUUUGGCAUCUGACUCUGUAUUUGUCAGGUUCUGGCAGAUCCUCUCAGGAGACAGCUAUAUCAGGCACCUGUCGGCUUGCACUUCUUGGCAUCUGUAAUAGCGUCUGAGUUUGGUGACUGUGUAUGGGACGGAUCCCCAGGUGGGGCAGUCUCUGGAUGGCUUUUCCUUCAGUCUCUGCCUCACACUUUGUCUCUGUAUUUCCUACUGUAUUUUGUUCCCUCUUCUAGGAAGGACUGAAGCAUCCACACUUUGGUCUUCCUUCUUCUUGAGCUUCAUGUGGUCUGUAAAUUGUAUCUUGGGUAUUCUGAGCUUUUGGGCUAAUAUCCAAUUAUCAGUGGGUUCAUACCAUGUGUGAGAAGAACACAUUAUCAUUCUGUAUCACUGGGCUUUGUAAUUUUUGAGGCUGGCUCCUGUCUCCAUGUUCAGAACCUUCAGGAACGUGAGUGAACACCUUGGGAUCCCUGCUCUGUCCUUCAAAGGAAACAGCAGAAUCAAGCCAUAAGGCUCCUGCUUUGUUGCUUCUCCAUGAAGACCUAGACAAGCUAGCUGGACUGCGAAUCCCUAGCCUUAGCCAGUAGCUCCAGCACAGACUGUUCAUCUGAAAACUUACCUUUUCCGGGUACAACUCAACAUGCUAUUGAUCUAUACAGAAACUGGAAGCGCUGGAGAUGGUGCCAAGAAGAUUCUGAAAAGCAAUUCUCAUCCAUUGCCUCUAUUGAGUUUUAACAAGUUUGGUAAUAGAGGCUUGAAAUCCAGAUGUCAAAGAUCUACUAAAACAACAAAGAUUUCCCUUCCCUCCCAGACCAAUAUGGCCUCUCUGUGUUGUAUGCUGAUCUGCGGAAGGGGACUCACCUGUAUCCUCAUGGAGUCCUGAGGUCCUCAUGAACAAACCCAUCAGACUUGCAGGUGUCGUUAUUCCCCUAGCACUUUGCUCAAAUCAUAGAGGUCAGCAUAACUGAUAACCUAGAAGAUUGUGAGGACCGUGAAUGCCAUCAUCCAGAGCCUGCAGGAAGUAAGCCCGCUAUGUCAAUGAGGCUGCUAGGAACUGUGGUCUCACCCAGCAAGUUCAGAUGAACUUGGUAAGGUGGAAGUUCACUUCCCUUCCACCAUAGUUUUGUGAUCUGGGCAGGGUGUGGGCAGGGCAUUUGGAGAAGGAUAGCGGUUUAGAUCAGCUCAUUAAAAACACAACCAUGACCCUGCAGUUCUAUGCCUUGCCCAGGUGAGUCAGCAGGGACUUUGACCGAGGCUGUACCUGCUAGGCCAUCAUUCUCAGUGCCAUAAAUCAAAGGCUCACAUAAAGGUAUAGAACAAUUCUUAAUAUGGCACAGUCUUUGGACUCAUGUAGGUCAGUCUGGUAGAUCUGUGUGUACAACUCUUAGAAUAGUAACUUAGUUUAAGGGGCAAGAUAUAGAGGACAAGUUGAUCAUAGCCAAUAGAUAUCUCUUAUAUUUGAGGUCGGCAAUUUAAAUUAGAAACAGUAAAUCUAUAUUAAUAAUUCCAUUAUUAUUUUCCUUUGAUAUACAAAUUAGCUAAGACAGAAGCUUAAUAAAAAUAUCACAUAUACACACAUACACAAACACACACAUACACACAUUCACACACACACACACACACACACACAAAUGGUACUCAUAGUAUCAGGAGAUAAAGAUAGAAUUUUUUUUUAAUUCUUAAAGCAUGGCCCAGAGGGAUGGGUUUAGUCAGGUAUGGAACUUACUCUGCAGUAAUGUGGUAGAAUGUAGGAAGAAUGUGAAGUUGAAUCCUUCAUUAGGGUCCCGUUCCAAAAGGAUGGGCAGAAGCAGUUCUCUGCCAUCCCAUUGACAAGACGUUUACCAUAACAGGCUCCCCAAACCAUGAAGUAUAUUCUCUAACUGUGUCUCACAGGCAUCCCCUCUUUGAUGCAGAGUAGGCUUUAUUGAAAGGAUGAUCGUGAUCAUUUGUGUAGCUUGUCUUUCUUCAUUUCAGUAAAUGUUUUUUCCAUACCAUUCAAUGCUGAUUCUUAUAGUGUCAGAAAGCAAUGGACAUCAAUAUUUUGCAAAGUGUUGCUUUAUACCUUUCUAUGUUUGGAAACAAUUGAAACAUAAUCAAAACUUUGAGUUGCAAA
Rattus norvegicus (Norway rat) is the source of this 6659-nucleotide non-coding RNA. The record is from RefSeq and is a predicted model, not a curated record. Lineage: Eukaryota; Metazoa; Chordata; Mammalia; Rodentia; Muridae.